GCGUAUUCUAAGGGGUGCUUGGGCUCUUGUCCAGGCUGAGAUUAUACCCACUGAACCUGAAACGGGUAAUGCCGACGCAGGGAAGACGUCCCCUUGAUG
This is a regulatory RNA element of Prevotella sp. CAG:474, 99 nucleotides long. It matches the Rfam family "TPP riboswitch aptamer (THI element)". Rfam says of the family: Vitamin B(1) in its active form thiamin pyrophosphate (TPP) is an essential coenzyme that is synthesised by coupling of pyrimidine and thiazole moieties in bacteria. The previously detected thiamin-regulatory element, thi box was extended, resulting in a new, highly conserved RNA secondary structure, the THI element, which is widely distributed in eubacteria and also occurs in some archaea. The record is from Rfam. Lineage: Bacteria; Pseudomonadati; Bacteroidota; Bacteroidia; Bacteroidales; Prevotellaceae.